AAAUUGAAGAGUUUGAUCAUGGCUCAGAUUGAACGCUGGCGGCAGGCCUAACACAUGCAAGUCGAGCGGAAACGAGUUAUCAGAACCUUCGGGGAACGAUAACGGCGUCGAGCGGCGGACGGGUGAGUAAUGCCUAGGAAAUUGCCCUGAUGUGGGGGAUAACCAUUGGAAACGAUGGCUAAUACCGCAUGAUGCCUACGGGCCAAAGAGGGGGACCUUC
RNAcentral lists this ribosomal RNA (220 nucleotides) under Vibrio parahaemolyticus. RNAcentral describes it as "partial 16S ribosomal RNA". It matches the Rfam family "Bacterial small subunit ribosomal RNA", at positions 1 to 218 of the family's 1533-position model. Lineage: Bacteria; Pseudomonadati; Pseudomonadota; Gammaproteobacteria; Vibrionales; Vibrionaceae. The record is from RNAcentral.